RNAcentral lists this ribosomal RNA (253 nucleotides) under uncultured bacterium. RNAcentral describes it as "partial 16S ribosomal RNA". It matches the Rfam family "Bacterial small subunit ribosomal RNA", at positions 524 to 776 of the family's 1533-position model. The record is from RNAcentral.
UCCGGAGGGCGCAAUCGUUGUUCGGAAUCACUGGGCGUAAAGCGCGUGUAGGCGGCUCUGCAAGUCGGGUGUGAAAUCCCGAGGCUCAACCUCGGAACUGCACUCGAUACUGCUUGGCUCGAGUCCCGGAGAGGGUGGCGGAAUUCCCGGUGUAGGGGUGAAAUCCGUAGAUAUCGGGAGGAACACCAGUGGCGAAGGCGGCCACCUGGACGGUGACUGACGCUGAGACGCGAAAGCGUGGGGAGAAAACAGG